AAAGAAAGAAAUCUCCAGUGUACC
Molecule: non-coding RNA, 24 nt
Filed under: Drosophila melanogaster (fruit fly)
Lineage: Eukaryota; Metazoa; Arthropoda; Insecta; Diptera; Drosophilidae
Source: RNAcentral